RNAcentral lists this ribosomal RNA (464 nucleotides) under uncultured bacterium. RNAcentral describes it as "SSU rRNA". It matches the Rfam family "Bacterial small subunit ribosomal RNA", at positions 26 to 518 of the family's 1533-position model. The record is from RNAcentral.
AGGAUUAACGCUGGCGGCGUGCCUGACACAUGCAAGUCGAACGAGGCCGCAAGGCCGAGUGGCGGACGGGUGAGUAACACGUGACCAACCAACCUCGAAGUUGGGAAUAGCUCUGCGAAAGUAGGGGUAAUACCGAAUGUGGCCCAGGGCGGGCAUCCGCCUUGGUCUAAAGAUUCAUCGCUUCGAGACGGGGUCGCGGCCUAUUAGCUUGUUGGUGAGGUAACGGCUCACCAAGGCGAUGAUGGGUAGCUGGUCUGAGAGGACGACCAGCCACACUGGGACUGAGACACGGCCCAGACUCCUACGGGAGGCAGCAGUGAGGAAUCUUCCGCAAUGGGCGAAAGCCUGACGGAGCAACGCCGCGUGUGGGAUGAAGACUCUAGGGUUGUAAACCACUGUCGGAGGGGACGAUCGUGACGGUACCCUCCAAGAAACGCCCCGGAUAACUACGUGCCAGCAGCCGC